AAAUGACAGCUAUGCGUGAAGAUCUCCAGAAAGGGCAGGAAUACACAAAUUGUCUUUUUCAGCUGCUCAGAGAAGACCUGAACAAGGAACAGGGAAAGACAGAAAAGAAAAAUACCCCAAAUCCUCAGGGAUCCGGGAGUGAGGAGACCCUUCUGCAGUUCUGCAAACAAAUGAAAACUAUGUGUGAAGAUCUCCAGAAAGGGCAGGAAUCCACAAAGCAGGAUAUUCAGCUGCUCAGAGCAGACCUGAACAAAGAACUAGACAGGAAAAUGAAGAAAAUGGCAAAGGCCCAGGAAUCCAAGAUGGACAAGAAACUCCAGCAGCUCUUCCAGAGAAUUCUGGAACGUGAAUUACAUGGGAUGCAGCACAUCCUUCAGCUCCCCAGAGCAGAAAUGGAGAUAGAACAAGGUGUGCUGAUAGAAAGUGCAUCAGAAGAUGAGGGCACUGAUGUAGAUGCAUAGACAACUCCUGAGCAGGUGAAGCAUUGAUCAACAAAAUUAGUCUGGCUCUCAUUACAUUUCUCUUGAGCUUGGCCCCCCACCCCCUGCACUCCCUGGGCUCGCUGUGUUGGGAAGUGCUCAUGCUGCCAGAAGACAGACAAUUGUUAGGGCUUUUCUCCCUCCUGUGAGCUGGUUCCUCCUGUGCCAGGGCAGAUCCAUCCACUGCCCGGUUUCAACAAGUGAAAGCAACAGCAGCCAAAGUGCAACCCAGAGCAGAGCUGAAUUACCCAGCGAGCUCUACACAAAAUCUCAGGCAGAGUCCUGGGAAUCCUGGAUUUUAAGUGGUUUAACAUUUUGUGUGUGUGAAGAAUCUGGGAUGUACAGCAGUGGGGAACCAUUUCACCCGGAGAAUGAAGUGUUCAGUUGCAAUCCUGAUUUUUCUGUGACAUGUUUACUACACUCGCAUUACCUGUCUUCUUUCCUGCUUCUGUUUUUAGUUAAUGUGUACAGCACAAGUGUAGAAUUAGCAUGUUCCUCCUGAGGCCGGGGCAACACCUGUCUUCCAAGGGUGCCUGUGCCCUGCGCAGGCAGAGGAGUUCCCUUAGAGUAAGAGAACCACCACUGUGCCCCGCUAGUUGGGCACCAUCUGUCACAGUCGCAGGGGAGAGAAGCCGCGACAGCCGGGGGUUCGUGCAGAGUGGUAGCUCGAAGCUAUUGCAGCCUUAUUAGGGUGUGCCACCCCUAUUUAUAGGGCGGCAGGAGAAGGUUCCAGAAACCAGGGAGGAGCAUAGGACAGGCAGGGACAUGGACCAGUCAGAAGGGAAAGGAGGGAAUAAGGGAGAAAUAGGAGCCAAUAAGGAAAACAUCUGCAAUGCAGCAGAUUGCAGCCAGUCAGAAAAUAGGUAAUAAACAUGAGGAGAAAACUGUGAAAACA
RNAcentral lists this long non-coding RNA (1374 nucleotides) under Manacus vitellinus (golden-collared manakin). RNAcentral describes it as "lncRNA (ENSMVIG00005010066.1)". Lineage: Eukaryota; Metazoa; Chordata; Aves; Passeriformes; Pipridae. The record is from RNAcentral.